Molecule: ribosomal RNA, 522 nt
Filed under: Parabembras robinsoni (African deep-water flathead)
Lineage: Eukaryota; Metazoa; Chordata; Actinopteri; Perciformes; Parabembridae
Description: partial 16S ribosomal RNA
Rfam family: Bacterial large subunit ribosomal RNA
Source: RNAcentral
GGUCCCGCCUGCCCUGUGACUAUUAGUUUAACGGCCGCGGUAUUUUGACCGUGCGAAGGUAGCGCAAUCACUUGUCUUUUAAAUGGAGACCUGUAUGAAUGGCAUAACGAGGGCUUAACUGUCUCCUCUUUCAAGUCAAUGAAAUUGAUCUUCCCGUGCAGAAGCGGGAAUAAGACCAUAAGACGAGAAGACCCUAUGGAGCUUUAGACACUAAGACAGAUCAUGUUAAACACCCCUAAACAAAGGGUUAAACCAAAUGACCCCUGCCCUAAUGUCUUUGGUUGGGGCGACCGCGGGGAAACAAAAAACCCCCACGUGGAAUGGGAACACCCCCUCCUACAACUAAGAGCUGCAGCUCAAGUUAACAGAAUUUCUGACCAAUAAGAUCCGGCAAUGCCGAUCAACGAACCGAGUUACCCUAGGGAUAACAGCGCAAUCCCCUUUUAGAGCCCAUAUCGACAAGGGGGUUUACGACCUCGAUGUUGGAUCAGGACAUCCUAAUGGUGCAGCCGCUAUUAAGGG